GUGCUGAAGUGGGUCACGAAAGAGUGCUCAAGCUGUCCAAAGGAGUGAACACUUUCUGGACGAAGAUCGGAGCACCAGAUCCUGGUGGCUUUGCGAAGCGUGGCGGGGAAGCCGAUGCAAAGAAGGGCAUCGGUCGCCCCUUGGAUCGUCAUGAGAGCCUUGUAGCUCUCCAGAUGGUCUACUGGGUCAGUGGAGCCGUCAUAGGGCUCCACAUGGGGCAUCUUGAACCGACUAGAAAUUGACUCGUCAAGGAUGAGUCGGGAAAGAGAUU
Molecule: long non-coding RNA, 271 nt
Filed under: Elaeis guineensis (African oil palm)
Lineage: Eukaryota; Viridiplantae; Streptophyta; Magnoliopsida; Arecales; Arecaceae
Description: long non-coding RNA (EGUI_LNC000516)
Source: RNAcentral